AUUCCGUUGGACAAAUUGGUAAAGUCAACACCCUUUCAAGGUGUCGUCUAGGGGUUCAAGUCCCCUACGGAAUG
Molecule: transfer RNA, 74 nt
Filed under: Salmonella enterica subsp. enterica serovar Braenderup
Lineage: Bacteria; Pseudomonadati; Pseudomonadota; Gammaproteobacteria; Enterobacterales; Enterobacteriaceae
Description: tRNA-Glu
Rfam family: tRNA
About the family: Transfer RNA (tRNA) molecules are approximately 80 nucleotides in length. Their secondary structure includes four short double-helical elements and three loops (D, anti-codon, and T loops).
Source: RNAcentral